This 327-nucleotide transfer-messenger RNA is filed under the name Paenibacillus thalictri. RNAcentral's name for it is "Paenibacillus sp. N2SHLJ1 transfer-messenger RNA". It matches the Rfam family "transfer-messenger RNA", at positions 52 to 364 of the family's 374-position model. Rfam says of the family: Bacterial tmRNA, also known as 10Sa RNA or SsrA, is named for its dual tRNA and mRNA-like properties. Its role is to liberate the mRNA from a stalled ribosome. The record is from RNAcentral. Lineage: Bacteria; Bacillati; Bacillota; Bacilli; Caryophanales; Paenibacillaceae.
GAGCAUUAAAUAUGAACAUGAUUAGUGGGGAGCAUCCGCUUCAUCAACGCUAACGCCUAUUAAAUGGAAAACAACAACAAACUACGCUUUAGCAGCUUAAUAACCUGUGAGCGUGCUUCUGCCUAGCAUCGCCCAUGUGCUAGGAUAGGGGCUCAACUUUAGUGGGAUACGCCGGUAGGUCUCCGCCUGGGGUCUACCGGAAGAAGACAAUCAGGCUGACCUGAAGGGGAGCCGGUUACGGGGCGUCUCUAGGGUGACAUCAAAACCGUGACUACACCCGUAGAAGCCUGUGUGGCGUUAUCUUCGGACAGGGGUUCGACUCCCCUC